This 492-nucleotide ribosomal RNA is filed under the name uncultured bacterium. Its description in RNAcentral is "bacterial SSU rRNA". It matches the Rfam family "Bacterial small subunit ribosomal RNA", at positions 29 to 509 of the family's 1533-position model. The record is from RNAcentral.
AGUGAACGCUGGCGGCAGGCCUAAUACAUGCAAGUCGAACGGCAGCACAGCAGAGCUUGCUCUGUGGGUGGCGAGUGGCGGACGGGUGAGGAAUACAUGGGAAUCUGCCCAGUCGUGGGGGAUAACGUAUGGAAACGUACGCUAAUACCGCAUGCGCCCUACGGGGGAAAGUCGGGGACCGCAAGGCCUGACGCGAUUGGAUGAGCCCAUGUUCGAUUAGCUAGUUGGCGGGGUAAAGGCCCACCAAGGCGACGAUCGAUAGCUGGUCUGAGAGGAUGAUCAGCCACACUGGAACUGAGACACGGUCCAGACUCCUACGGGAGGCAGCAGUAGGGAAUAUUGGACAAUGGGGGCAACCCUGAUCCAGCCAUGCCGCGUGAGUGAAGAAGGCCCUCGGGUUGUAAAGCUCUUUUGUCCGGAAAGAAAAGCAAUCGGUUAAUACUCGGUUGUUCUGACGGUACCGGAAGAAUAAGCACCGGCUAACUUCGUGCC